Molecule: ribosomal RNA, 253 nt
Filed under: uncultured bacterium
Lineage: Bacteria
Description: partial 16S ribosomal RNA
Rfam family: Bacterial small subunit ribosomal RNA
Source: RNAcentral
UACGGAGGGAGCUAGCGUUGUUCGGAAUUACUGGGCGUAAAGCGCACGUAGGCGGCUUUGCAAGUUAGAGGUGAAAGCCUGGAGCUCAACUCCAGAACUGCCUUUAAAACUGCAUCGCUUGAAUCCAGGAGAGGUGAGUGGAAUUCCGAGUGUAGAGGUGAAAUUCGUAGAUAUUCGGAAGAACACCAGUGGCGAAGGCGGCUCACUGGACUGGUAUUGACGCUGAUGUGCGAAAGCGUGGGGAGCAAACAGG